Scleropages formosus (Asian bonytongue) is the source of this 257-nucleotide long non-coding RNA. RefSeq lists it as uncharacterized. Lineage: Eukaryota; Metazoa; Chordata; Actinopteri; Osteoglossiformes; Osteoglossidae. The transcript is spliced from 3 exons. The record is from RefSeq and is a predicted model, not a curated record.
UUUUGAGCAGCAAGCUAAAUCAAAGAUUUUUACAGAAGGAAAGUUCUGAUGCCAACUGAAGAAUGAGUUUUUCAAAUAGAACUCCAUGACACUUCAGUUUAUGUUAAAAGACUUUCAAGAUAUAAUUACUUCUCUUAAUAUGCAACAAAACCUUGCUGUGUGGUCUACCAACUCAGGGUUAGGUGACACAUGACCUGCGUUCAGGGGGUGCUGUGGUGCAGAGGGUUUGGCCAGGACCUGCUCCCUGAUGGAUCUGG